CUACUACAUCAAUCAGACCACAAGGUGCCCUUUCAGGAAAGUAAUGGAGUAUAAUCAACCUAACUUCAUUGAUCUACAAGGACUACUGAAAAUUAUAAAACUUUCUUUGGGAUUCUAACAUGCCAGAAACCACUAGAAAAAGAAGUUUGAUAUCUCAGAGGUUCUCCUCAUCGUGGUAUAGAGACCAAAAUGAUACUUUCAAAAAGCCUGACAGGUUUCUCCGGAAAAGUGACCAUCCAUGGAAUGAAUGAAAUGUUCCCUUUCUAUUCCAGGUACAGACAGGCAUGCAGAAGUAACUAGACGUCCAACACAUGCCAAGGUCUUGCGGGCCCAGGAUUUCGAACAAAAGAAAACUCGGUAACGUGACUGUAAAUCAAGGGCAUUUGAGACCAUAGACGCGCGCACCACUGCAAGGGUUAAUUGGAGGAGAGGGAAGAGAGAGGCUCCACCUUGCAGUCUGUGUGAACUUCGGCCAGAAAAAGAGCUGGAGCUCCAGCCGCCGCCGGUGGGAGCCCUGCAGUCCGCGGCACGCGGUCCCUUGUUGUGGGGCAGGUGUGGCGCCGGGUAGAGGCGGGGCGCAACCUGGAAACUGCCGCCUGAGCUGUGGCCCGCGCCCUGCCUACCCUUUGGCGCAUCUGUUUCUUUAUUGCCUGAAAGCCAUCCGACGCGUUGAAGGCGCGAUUAUCGACAAUUUGUCAGCCCGAUUUUGUCGCUUGCAAUAACUUUUGGUGAAGUUUCACUCUCAGGCCCUUGAGUUUCGGGAUGAGGAAAUGUGGUAUGAGAGCAUUGUCCUGUGUUUGGCUUCUCAUUUCCACAGGACCCAGGCAGGCAGAAGAAGGGAAAAGAAAGUUAAUCCGACUGCAGUCACUCUGGCACACAAGCCAUGGGGAAACGGGAGAGAAACUUGUUCCUUCUCCUACAAAACUCUCCCCUUCCCCCUCAAGCCCCUCCCCCCACCAGGUCCUUUUUAAUAGAUCAGUCCCUCAUCUCCCCCCCCCUCCACACACGUAUUCUUGGGCCCACAAUUCUCUUGAGCAACCUAGGACUGAGUUUUUGUGUUUUGUUUGUUUUGCUUCCUUUUUCCUUUGUGUUUGUGGAUGUGGAUUGUUUUUCAGGGACCAGGGGCCAGGACCGCAGCUCUAAACCUGAACCGUUCACCUUCAUGAUCCCUUUCUUCCCCUCUUCUUGAUUGGUGGCUGUCGUGGCCAAGACCAUGCCCUUUCCUGAGCAUGGAGCAGUGGGGCAGCUGCUCUGAAGCAGCUGCUGUGCCUUACCCCUCUUUUCUCAAUCAUUAAAAUUCAAUUUCAAAAUUUCUGUCUUUAACAAUUUCCUAAGGAGACUAUGAAGAAUGCCAAAAGAGUGGGCCUUUUUUCAAGUGGUCAUGUUUCAGCAAAAGGCAGGCACAGUCCAAGUUGCCCUAGGUUGUGCCCUUAUAGGAGCAGGGCAGUGGAUGUUGUGUAAAAUGGAGUGCUGUGCCCACCUUGAACGAGAGACGAGCUCUGGCAGGUCAAGAACCUGGGGAGAGCAACUCCAGCUUUUCCAUCCACAUCACCCCUGCAGCUUGAUGGAGCACAGCACCAAGCAGGAAGUUCUCAUUUUUUUUUUUUUUUUUAAUGUCCACACCCAUGACAUACAGAAGUUUCUGGCCCAGGGAUUGAAUCUAAGUUUCAGCUAUGACCUAUGUGGCAGCUAUAGCAAUGCCAGAUCCCUUAACCCGCUGCACCAAGCUGGGGAUCAAACCCUCACCUCUGCAGCAACCCAAGCUGCUGCAGUUAGAUUUUUAACCCACUGCACCACAGCUGGAACUCUGGGGAAGUUCUCUUUAAUAGUUCCUCACUUUCUUCCUUGAUCCAAAAAGAAAAAUAUUUGUAUUCGGAAAGUUCUCUUCUGCUAAGAAGUUUCUAUUAACAUCUCUUUCUCCUUUCAGUGAAGUCUGUUUCUGGGUCAAGGGGAGUGUUUUAAGAAACAGAAAAAUAGAGACACACACAUAACUGCAAUAGGUAGCUGAACUUCAUCAGGAGCCUUGAGUAGCCAAGAAAACAUUCUUCUGAUGCAACUUCAGAGUUUCAUCCCCUGCUCCAAAAUUUAUCAUGUAAUUAGUACCCAAAAUGCCUCCUUUAACCAACACCCAUUGCAACCUAUGGAAAAGAUGUAGCAUUUUUUUUUUUGAAAUUCUAGAUGGACCUAAGGAUUACCUGACUCCUAUUGCCAUCACCUCUUAAUCACACAAAACUGUUUUCCUAAACACCAACCUUUUUCCCUAUAAAAACCACUGACCCCUCAGUAUACCUAGUACCUUUUUUCCUCCCUUUAAAUUAUUAUUCCUUACUCUUUUCCGUUCUGGGGCCCUGAGCCAGAUUCUCAGAAUUAAUCCUGAGUUCUCCCAAAUGCCAUGACAAGUUAGAAGGGAAAUUGGGGGACUGCACUGAAAAUACAUGGUAUAGAGAGUAAAUGUUACAGCUGUUGACAAGUGGCAGUUUGGGGUAUCAGCAAUGAAUUCCACAUUUUUCUAUAGGCUUCUUUUUACUUCACUUUAGGAUCCACUGAUCCUAAUAGAAACAAGUUAAAACUGCAGUUCCCUUCGUGGCGCAGUGGUUAACGAAUCCGACUAGUAACCAUGAGGUUGUGGGUUUGAUCCCUGGCCUUGCUCAGUGGGUUAAGGAUCCGGCGUUGCUGUGAGCUGUGGUGUAGGCCGGUGGCUGCAGCUCCGAUUAGACCCCUAGCUUGGGAAUCUCCAUAUGCCCCUGGAGCAGCCAUAGAAAAGGCAAAAAGACCAAAAAAAAAAAAAAAAAAA
Molecule: long non-coding RNA, 2794 nt
Filed under: Sus scrofa (pig)
Lineage: Eukaryota; Metazoa; Chordata; Mammalia; Artiodactyla; Suidae
Description: lncRNA (ENSSSCG00030001701.1)
Rfam family: SOX2 overlapping transcript exon 2 (bases 203-271)
Source: RNAcentral